RNAcentral lists this long non-coding RNA (675 nucleotides) under Mytilus galloprovincialis (Mediterranean mussel). The record is from RNAcentral. Lineage: Eukaryota; Metazoa; Mollusca; Bivalvia; Mytilida; Mytilidae.
CUUUUUGAUUCAGUCAACUAUAAAAAUUCAUGUCCUCAGUUUCAAUUGUUUAAAUUGUAAGACAUACGUUACACAAAAUCAAAAGGGAACAUGCUAAAGGAUACCAAUGGUAUUUCUCUUGUUAUGGGGACUGGAGGCAAAUAUUAUAAAAUCAUUUUAAAUGGAUAUGCUCCUUAAAUUAUUUGCGCUGUCAGUGUAUUUAUGUUUGUUUUUAAUCCGCGAGUCUUAUUUAGUGGCGAUGAAAAACAUAUCACCAUUUUUUUUAUGCUUAUAAUCCGUUAAUUCUUAAUUUGACAGUCAUUUUCCUAGAAAGUUAUACUGAAAAAUAUGACAAUAGAGGAUACCAAUUUCUAAAAAAAGAUAUUUUUCAUUGAGAACAAGCUAUAUUUUCAUCCCUCGAAUUGAAAAAUUCUCCAAAAUUUUCCCAAAAAAACCUCAUUCUCUACGCCGAAAGUUCGAGAGAUGAACAAGCGCUAUUCGAAUGAUUAUUAUUUUUUUACUGACAAUGGAUUUUAUCUGAUAUCAUGCAAUUGCCAACGUGUGACCAAUUGUGUCAUAGGAAGUAACUACCUUGCAGAUUUGAAAUCGCUUACACGGUAUUUUAACUCCGAUUAUUAUAAAGUUACAGGCCAUAUAAACUUAUUUCAUUAUAGUUUUUACAGCAAUGUAAUGUGU